CGGAGCGUGGCGCAGUCCGGUAGCGCACUUGACUGGGGGUCAAGGGGUCGUGAGUUCAAAUCUCGCCGCUCCGA
Molecule: transfer RNA, 74 nt
Filed under: Fidelibacterota bacterium
Lineage: Bacteria; Pseudomonadati; Fidelibacterota
Also listed under: 1 other name
Description: tRNA-Pro
Rfam family: tRNA
About the family: Transfer RNA (tRNA) molecules are approximately 80 nucleotides in length. Their secondary structure includes four short double-helical elements and three loops (D, anti-codon, and T loops). Further hydrogen bonds mediate the characteristic L-shaped molecular structure. tRNAs have two regions of fundamental functional importance: the anti-codon, which is responsible for specific mRNA codon recognition, and the 3' end, to which the tRNAs corresponding amino acid is attached (by aminoacyl-tRNA synthetases). tRNAs cope with the degeneracy of the genetic code in two manners: having more than one tRNA (with a specific anti-codon) for a particular amino acid; and 'wobble' base-pairing, i.e. permitting non-standard base-pairing at the 3rd anti-codon position.
Source: RNAcentral